AAUACUAGGUGCACACCGCCUUCUUCAAGGUUGCAGGGAAGGUGAGGUAGAGAAGAGCCUACAUGGCACCAUGAAGCAUCAUAAGGGCUUUAUAGCCCUUGAGAUGAUCUAGGAGGUCGGUGGAGCUAUCAUGUGGUUCCACCGCCUGCAUCUUGAACCAAUUUGGGAUCGGUUCUUAGAGGAUGGAGGGAUGAAAGGCGGUCGAGAACUAAAGUUGAAAACAUCAUCAUUUCCCCUGCCACCCACUUGGACCUCAGCAGCUCAAUCUCACAGAUCUUCCGCUCAAAGUCUUCAUCC
Molecule: long non-coding RNA, 297 nt
Filed under: Elaeis guineensis (African oil palm)
Lineage: Eukaryota; Viridiplantae; Streptophyta; Magnoliopsida; Arecales; Arecaceae
Description: long non-coding RNA (EGUI_LNC037762)
Source: RNAcentral